Molecule: ribosomal RNA, 250 nt
Filed under: uncultured bacterium
Lineage: Bacteria
Description: partial 16S ribosomal RNA
Rfam family: Bacterial small subunit ribosomal RNA
Source: RNAcentral
UACAGAGGUGGCAAGCGUUGUUCGGAAUUACUGGGCGUAAAGGGCGCGUAGGCGGUCUCGUAAGUCCUGUGUGAAAUCCCCCGGCUCAACUGGGGAACUGCACAGGAAACUGCGGGACUUGAGUUCGGGAGAGGGAAGCGGAAUUCCGGGUGUAGCGGUGAAAUGCGUAGAUAUCCGGAGGAACACCGGUGGCGAAGGCGGCUUCCUGGACCGACACUGACGCUGAGGCGCGAAAGCUAGGGGAGCAAAC